GCGCGAGCGGCGGCAUGACGCGGAGGCGGAGCAGGCCGAGCGGCGGUGCGGGCAGGCGCGAGCGGGCUCGGGCCGCGGGGCCGCAGAAGCCCCAGGCGCCCGAGCCCCCGCCGCCGCCAAGCCUGGAGGCGGGAGCGGGUGCAGGCCCUCCGGAGGCGCCGGCGGAGCCCGACCACGACGGCCCCAGGGAGGAUGACGAACCCAACCUGGUGCCCGGCCCGCAGCGCCUGCAGCCGCGGCCCCCUCAGCAGCUGUGUCUCCUGGCGCCUCCUCGCCAUACCCAGCAGAGCAGUUGGAGCAGACAGCCAGGCUGCCCGGAGGAGUUUUUGGUGGGGUUUCUGCACUGAGGUGGAAACCCAGCAGAACCUGCCCUUCUUCCCUCCCCUGCUCCGCAAGGCAGCCCACCCCGACCUUGAGAUCCCAGGUUUGGAGAAUCCUGCUGAGAGCGAACAGUAGGAGGAUUCCCCAAAGCUUCCAGCUUGCCACCUGGAAGAAGGUCACUUUCUUUUGAGCAAAGGAGAUAACGGGAGGUACCCUGCCAAAGUUCACUGAGAGGCGGGGGUGACAUGGGCCACGGUUGCUCUGGGAGGGUUGUGGCACUCGGGGCUGGGUGGCUCUCCCUAAGCUUGCUCUGACAAAAGAGUUUUGAGUUGGUCUUUUGGCUGAGCCUGCCCAGGAAGGCAGGCUCCUGCAGGAGUCUUGGAGGGUCGGAUGCGGCGCCGGAUGAGGAUGAGGCGUGGCGGAAGAUGCGUUUGGCUCUGCAGACACUGCAUCGGGCAGCAGGGGACUCUGGGAGGCUGGUGCAGCCAGAAGGCAUGGCUCUUGACAGCCUUCUAGUAGAAUCUCUGGAAUUGUGCAUGUGAGUGGGGUUGCCGUUUGGGGUACCUUCCCACAAAGCCUCCCCUGACCUCCCCAGUUGCGUCAGGUGCCCUCUCUGUGCCCACAGCCCUCUGUGCCUCCCUCUGGUAGCACUCCCCUUUCUGUGAUGAAACAUUGUGUUGAUAUGUCUGUUGCCUGCCCUGGACUGUGAACUCCACAGGGACACAGGCUAUGCCAUCUUUCUCUGAUCUUCCACGCCUCGCCCAGGGCCUUGCUAACACAGAAUAAAAAUAACUAGGUGAAUGAGAGAGAAAA
Molecule: long non-coding RNA, 1134 nt
Filed under: Homo sapiens (human)
Lineage: Eukaryota; Metazoa; Chordata; Mammalia; Primates; Hominidae
Description: long non-coding RNA NONHSAT205092.1
Source: RNAcentral